UCAUGACGCUGCUUUACGUGGCAUUCAUCCAGCCUCCCAGCAACCCAGGGAGAAAGAGCCAACUACUCUCGCACCCCUUUCCAGACAAGGCAACUGAGAUUGGAUGAUCACCUAGGCCAAGGUCACACAGGCGUGCCGGCAUGUUCCUCUCAGGACCUGAGACUCGCUGGGUUGACCCCACCCCUGCUGGGCUGGUGACCCUACCCCACCGAGCCAAUGAGAUUCCAUCCUGAGAUCUUGCUAGAACUGCCAUGUGAGGGUCUCCCUCUCAUGCCAACAGCUGGGAUCAACCUUGCUGGGGCUGGACCUGCUAUAGAAAAAGCCAAGCCGAGGAGUGAAAAAAGACGAAGAUCCUGAAAAUAUCACUUGACACUCUACGGAUUGACUCUGAUUCUAGAUCCAAAGCUAGUUGCUGUCUUGCACUAUUCUUUCCAGAAGCCAAUAAAUUCCUAUUGGUGUUUGUCACCUAUCACUGGCUAAUAAAGAAAUUCCAUCUGUCCUAGAAUCUUUUCUCCCCCAGUUGUGUUUAACUAGAGAUUUUUUUUUUUUCUCCUUCAGGCAAAUCAUAAACUUCUUAAGGGCAGGGCUGGUCAUUGUACAACUGCAAAUAUAAUAAAGUCAUUGAGGAAUAAAUUAUUAAAAAAACAA
Sus scrofa (pig) is the source of this 648-nucleotide non-coding RNA. The record is from RefSeq and is a predicted model, not a curated record. Lineage: Eukaryota; Metazoa; Chordata; Mammalia; Artiodactyla; Suidae.